AGAUGGUUCAGUGAUAGACUAUGGAAGGUGGAUUCAGGAAGAAGUGAGUCACUUACUAGCUGGAAGACUCUGAAUAAGUCAUUUCAUCUUUACCUGGCUAUAACUCUGACUACAGGAACAGUUUGCUCCUGGAGUGGCUGGAAGUGACCUGUGAUAUAACCAAAGACAGAUGCCUGGUGUCUUGAUUAUACCAAGAAAUGGAAGUCAAGGUUAAUAAGUCGCUGAUCUCACCAUGCAGAAAUUCCUGUUACAAACAGAAUUGUAGAAUGUUGAGACAGAAAGACCAUGAUAUCAUGGAAAUGAUGCCAGGACAUGCAAGUGAAUUGGAUAUGAGUGAAGGAGACCUAUGCAAGGAUUACAGAUAGCCACUGAAACUUCUGGAACUCCUGGAUAGGUCUUUGCUUUAGUGAUGUCUGUUUGGCAUUAGUUGGGAAGAGUGGAUUAGAAAGGUGAGAGACUGAAGACUUCUUAUAAGAAUGUGGCCUUAACCUAUGUCUUAAUUGUGACUUGAGAUUUUGUAAUAGAUUGAGAAUUAAUUUGGCACAGAAGAUAAUCCAGCUGAGAAAAGUUUGAAUUCAAUGAGGCCCCAGUAGAGAAAAAGGACAAAGCAGGCCAAGAGGGAUUGGAGACUGAGAACAAGGAAUGUUCUUGGAAAUGUAUCAAGGAACAGUCCAGGGGAUAUGGGCCACAGAGCUCUGACUCAGACUUUGCCUAUCUGCCAAAAUCAAGAAAGAAAAAAAAGAUGUAGAGAGG
This 753-nucleotide long non-coding RNA is filed under the name Sarcophilus harrisii (Tasmanian devil). RNAcentral describes it as "lncRNA (ENSSHAG00000030615.1)". Lineage: Eukaryota; Metazoa; Chordata; Mammalia; Dasyuromorphia; Dasyuridae. The record is from RNAcentral.